AUGCCUCAUGAUUGUUAUGCUUUUCCUCCCCCAGCACCCAGAGAUCCUCUCUGCACCACACCACCUUGUCUGCUGGGAAGUGGGGGAGGAGUGGCCUCAGUGAUUCAGGACUCUCCUUUCUGCCUCUUCAGAAUGUCUUUCAGCGAUAUGAAGUUAAAACCAGUACACUGUCAGGAACAUGGAUGUAAUGGCUGGAUACCAAUAUUCAUCUUGGGCCACGAAGACACAUACCUUAGGAAUGGCAGAGUAUACACUGAGAAGGAAUCUGGGUCCCUGAAGAUUUCAUGGUGAUGCCAUGCUAGCUCUGGACUGCUUACUUCUGAAAUUCUAUCUUACUUAAGCCACCCUUAUUUUGUGUCUAUGCUCAUAGAGGAAAUAGGGUUUUUUCUGAGGCAAUAGUUUUGAGGAGGGAGAGGAUGAGUUUGAUUUUGGGCAUGUGAAUAUGAAGUAUUGGCAGGUUAUUCAGGUAGACAUGUAGAAGAGUUAGAGUUAUGGAGAGAUGACAACUUUCUCUGCUUCUGCCUUCCUGCUGUCUGGUGUUAUUGAAAUCCAGAAGAAAUAGAGUUAGCUCUACAGAGUUCACUCUGGGAAAUGUUUGCCUACAUUAGAAGGCCAAUAGCUUUCUAACAGGUGUCUUCACUUCCAGUCCUUGCUUUUUGAAACUACUUUAUACAUUGUCACUCCUUAAAACCAGUUUGACCUGUGACUACUGACUAGAGUCUGACUUUUUUAUGCUGACACUCAAGGACUUCCACAAUCUGGUUUGAAUCUACUUUCCCAGUUUGUUUAUUCACUGUGUUUUCUCAGGCACCUGUGCUUUACUCAGACUGAUGUACUCUCUCUGUCCUAUUUAUGCUCCACAAUUUUCUCUUUGAUGCUUUUGCACAUACUCAGGAUCAUCGCCAGCCCAUAUGGAUUCUUGGCACAAAAUAGAAAAAGGUGUCUCUUCCUCAAAAUGCUUUACUUCCAUCUGUCUGAAAACUGUUGUAAUACACUGAUUGUUAGGAAAUGUCAUUCUCCUGCCACCUACUAGAAAAUUUUUGUAAAAAAUAUUCAAAUUAUCUAUCUUUGAAAUAACAAAAAAGUUAUUACCAUGAAAAUUUUGGCCAGGUGUGGUGGCUUAUGCCUGUAUUCUCGGCAUUUUGGGAAGCUGAGGCAGGAGAAUUGCUUGAGGCCAGGAGCUCAAGGCCAGCCUGGGCAAUAUAGUGAGACUCAUUCUCUACAAAAUAUAAAACAAAAUUGGCUAGGCAAGGUGGCACAUGCCUGUAGUCAUAGCUACCUGGAAGGCUGAGGUGGGAGAAUUGCUUGAGCCCAGAAGGUUGAGGCUACAGUGAGCUGAGGUCAUGCCACUGCACUCCAGCCUAGGCAACAGAGAAAGACCAUAUCUCAGAAAACCCCAAAUACACAUCUAAAAUAUAAAAAAUUUCAAAAUGUCCACAAUGUGAACAGUGUCCCCUUAGGUGUGGCAUUCUUCUGCAGCACACAAACUGGAGAAUCAUGAGUGGAGUCCUGCUCAUGCUGUUCCCUCCACGUGAAACUCACACUCACUAUCAUCUUUAUGUGUCCAGGGACUACUUGAGUGCUGCUUUUACAAAGCUUUGCUUGAUUUUUCAAGAUGAAAACAAUCUCUUCUCAUCCUGAAAAUUCAGUACAGUUAUCUGCACCUCUCUCAGGGUAUUUAUCACUUUCUAAUAGUAUUCUGUUUAUUUAUGUGCAUGUAUUAUCACUCUACUGUGCUAAAUUCUCUUUGAGAACAGAAUAGAUUGACAAUUUACUUUUGUAGCUUCACACUAUUUGGAGACUAUUAUACCUAGGAUUACCAUAUGUCUCAGUUUGUCCAGAACAAUCUGAAUUUAUGCCUGUUGUGCUGACAUAAGCAUUAACAGUGCCUCCUUUCAUGCUCAAAAAUACCAAUUGGAAGAAUAAAUUGUAUUGUCAACUCUACUUAUAUGGUAUGCGCUCAGUGAAUAAUCGAUGGAUGUAUACCUGAGUGAAUGAGAGGAAUUAGGUAGUCAUCCAUGUUGAGAAGGUAAUUGAAUAUGUGAAAUGAUCACCUAAAGUAGCUGUCCCAAAUAUCUAAUUCAACUCACAGCAACAAAAAUUUAUCCUCCCUCAAAAGACACAGUGAAUACAUGCAUUAAAAGAGAGAGUAGAAAGGAUGAGGGCUAAGGACAGGACCUGUGGAGAGUGCUUACAUUUGAGGGAUAGAAAGAGGAAGAGGAGCCAACAAAGGAAACAAACUGGAAGCAGUCAAAGAGGCAGGAGAAAAAUUAGCCUGGCCCAGGUGCAGUGGCUCAUCCCUGUAAUCCCGACACUGAGGGAGGCCACGGCGGGCAGAUUACUUCAGACCAGGAUUUUGAGACCAGCCUGUGCAACAUGGCAAGACCUGUCUCUACAAAAAUAAAUUAAAAAAAAUAAUAAUCAGGGUAAUUCCAUGGAAGCUAUGGAGAGAGUUUUAAAAGGGAUAAGGUGGUCACCAUUGGUAAAAGCCUCAGUGAGGUCAAGCACGGUGAAUUCUAAACAAAACAAAACAAAAAACAAACAAACAAAAACAAACAAACAAACAAAAACCAUUGAAUCUGCCAGUGGUUAUGUCAUUGCUGACUUUCAAGGCAGCAGUUUGAAUAGAGUGUCAUAGAGUGGCGGGUGGAAACUAGGUUGCAAAGGGUUAGGAAGUGACCUAAUGCUGAGAAAAGAGUCAGUGAGAAAUCUGGCUUGUGUAAAGAAGGUGAGAAAUAGGAUGGCAACUUGGGUCAAAAGUAAGGAGAGCUCUGAACAUGGACCUUGGGGAAGAAGCCACUAAAAAUAGAUAAUGGAACAAGUUAUCUCAGAAGCGAAGAAGGGUUGGGAUCAAGUAUCCAAGUAGAGGACAUGCCCGAGAUACAGUGCUGUUUUUGUUUUUGUUUUUUUGUUUGUUUGUUUUUGAGACAGAAGGGUUGUGGUAGAGUUCAGGCAGAAGUGUCAUGCAUUAUGCAGUUUGAAGAAGGAAGGGGAAUGAGGGAGCCUACGUGGCCAGAGUCUUUGCAGUGAAGUAGGUGGUGAGGUCAUAUGUGAGAAGAGGGACAGCUGGAGUAGGACUGGGGGCUUGAGAGCAGGGGAAACAGUUUGGAUUUAGAACAACUGUUCUAAGAAAUUCCCGAGGGAGUCAACAAGAAGCCUGCCAAGCUGCAGUGCAAGCCCAGCUGAGGUUCAACUUCCCAUACUGAAUGAGAUAGUUAUUUCCACAGAAUCCAUAGAAAAUGUAUUUCUCAAGCUUAUUAUCAAAGAUGUUUUUCCUCCACCAGGAAGAGAAUAAAGGAACACACAUUGGCAAUUUACCAUGUGGUGGAGAGUUACGAGCAUUUAGUCUCUCCCAAAAGACUUGUUGCUCGGUCAUCCAGAAGCCUUACAGCAUUCUUAGUGAAGAUGAAUGCUUCAUACAGGUUGUUUGUGGUACGUUAAAAACAUAGACCUAAAACCAAGGAUGUUCUAUUUUCAGAGCUUGUCUGGGAUGUACCUUGAGUUUCUAUGCCCAGUUCAGAGCAAAGGCAAACACUGACAUUUCUGUGAGACAGAGCAUAAAGUUGCAAAUAGCCUCUGUGAUAAAACUUGAUUUAACCAGGCAAAACCUUUAAGCUUACAAGCAGCCUGUAAAAUCCACCAAAGGCCAAAUGUCAGGCAUUGCCCUUUAAAGCCCAAGUAAAU
This 3684-nucleotide long non-coding RNA is filed under the name Papio anubis (olive baboon). RNAcentral's name for it is "lncRNA (ENSPANG00000047500.1)". Lineage: Eukaryota; Metazoa; Chordata; Mammalia; Primates; Cercopithecidae. The record is from RNAcentral.